This 429-nucleotide ribosomal RNA is filed under the name Chloroflexota bacterium. RNAcentral's name for it is "Chloroflexi bacterium partial 16S ribosomal RNA". It matches the Rfam family "Bacterial small subunit ribosomal RNA", at positions 355 to 776 of the family's 1533-position model. Lineage: Bacteria; Bacillati; Chloroflexota. The record is from RNAcentral.
UAGGGAAUCUUCGGCAAUGGACGAAAGUCUGACCGAGCAACGCCGCGUGAGUGAAGAAGGUUUUCGGAUCGUAAAACUCUGUUGUUAGAGAAGAACAAGGACGUUAGUAACUGAACGUCCCCUGACGGUAUCUAACCAGAAAGCCACGGCUAACUACGUGCCAGCAGCCGCGGUAAUACGUAGGUGGCAAGCGUUGUCCGGAUUUAUUGGGCGUAAAGCGAGCGCAGGCGGUUUCUUAAGUCUGAUGUGAAAGCCCCCGGCUCAACCGGGGAGGGUCAUUGGAAACUGGGAGGCUUGAGUGCAGAAGAGGAGAGUGGAAUUCCAUGUGUAGCGAUGAAAUGCGUAGAUAUAUGGAGGAACACCAGUGGCGAAGGCGGCUCUCUGGUCUGUAACUGACGCUGAGGCUCGAAAGCGUGGGGAGCAAACAGG